CCAGACUCCUACGGGAGGCAGCAGUGGGGAAUAUUGGACAAUGGGGGGAACCCUGAUCCAGCGACGCCGCGUGAGUGAAGAAGUAUUUCGGUAUGUAAAGCUCUAUCAGCAGGGAAGAAAGAAAUGACGGUACCUGACUAAGAAGCCCCGGCUAACUACGUGCCAGCAGCCGCGGUAAUACGUAGGGGGCAAGCGUUAUCCGGAUUUACUGGGUGUAAAGGGAGCGUAGACGGCGAUGCAAGUCUGAAGUGAAAGGCGGGGGCCCAACCCCCGGACUGCUUUGGAAACUGUAUAGCUGGAGUGCAGGAGAGGUAAGUGGAAUUCCUAGUGUAGCGGUGAAAUGCGUAGAGAUCGGGAGGAACACCAGUGGCGAAGGCGGCCUACUGGGCUUUAACUGACGCUGAGGCACGAAAGCGUGGGUAGCAAACAGGAUUAGAUACCCCCGUAC
RNAcentral lists this ribosomal RNA (448 nucleotides) under uncultured bacterium. Its description in RNAcentral is "bacterial SSU rRNA". It matches the Rfam family "Bacterial small subunit ribosomal RNA", at positions 331 to 793 of the family's 1533-position model. The record is from RNAcentral.